GGAGAGGUGGGUGAGUGGCUGAAACCACCGGUUUGCUAAACCGACGUACGGGUUAUACCGUACCACGAGUUCGAAUCUCGUCCUCUCCGCCU
RNAcentral lists this transfer RNA (92 nucleotides) under Bacteroides sp. CAG:1060. RNAcentral's name for it is "transfer RNA-Ser(GCT)". It matches the Rfam family "tRNA". From Rfam's summary of the family: Transfer RNA (tRNA) molecules are approximately 80 nucleotides in length. Their secondary structure includes four short double-helical elements and three loops (D, anti-codon, and T loops). The record is from RNAcentral. Lineage: Bacteria; Pseudomonadati; Bacteroidota; Bacteroidia; Bacteroidales; Bacteroidaceae.